UACGUAGGGUGCAAGCGUUGUCCGGAAUUAUUGGGCGUAAAGAGCUCGUAGGCGGUCUGUCGCGUCUGGUGUGAAAAUCCAGGGCUUAACCCUGGACCUGCAUCGGGUACGGGCAGACUAGAGUGCGGUAGGGGAGAUCGGAAUUCCUGGUGUAGCGGUGAAAUGCGCAGAUAUCAGGAGGAACACCGGUGGCGAAGGCGGAUCUCUGGGCCGUAACUGACGCUGAGGCACGAAAGUGUGGGGAUCAAACAGG
RNAcentral lists this ribosomal RNA (253 nucleotides) under uncultured bacterium. RNAcentral describes it as "partial 16S ribosomal RNA". It matches the Rfam family "Bacterial small subunit ribosomal RNA", at positions 524 to 776 of the family's 1533-position model. The record is from RNAcentral.